GAUGAACGCUGGCGGCGUGCCUAAUACAUGCAAGUCGUACGGAAAGGCCCUUCGGGGUACUCGAGUGGCGGACGGCUGAGUAACGCGUGGGAACGUGCCCCAAAGUGAGGGAUAACGCACCGAAAGGUGUGCUAAUACCGCAUAUGGUCUUCGGAUUAAAGCUUCGGGGCUUUGGGAGCGGCCCGCGUACGAUUAGAUAGUUGGUGAGGUAAUGGCUCACCAAGUCGACGACCGUUAGCCGGUCUGAGAGGAUGAUCAGCCAGACUGGGACUGAGACACGGCCCAGACUCCUACGGGAGGCAGCAGUAAGGAAUCUUCCACAAUGGGGGCAACCCUGAUGGAGCAACGCCGCGUGCAGGAUGAAGGUUUUCGGAUCGUAAACUGCUUUUAUAAGUGAAGAAUAUGACGGUAACUUAUGAAUAAGGAUCGGCUAACUACGUGCCAGCCGCCGCCGUAA
Molecule: ribosomal RNA, 457 nt
Filed under: uncultured bacterium
Lineage: Bacteria
Description: partial 16S ribosomal RNA
Rfam family: Bacterial small subunit ribosomal RNA
Source: RNAcentral